RNAcentral lists this ribosomal RNA (448 nucleotides) under uncultured bacterium. RNAcentral's name for it is "bacterial SSU rRNA". It matches the Rfam family "Bacterial small subunit ribosomal RNA", at positions 329 to 793 of the family's 1533-position model. The record is from RNAcentral.
GUCCAGACUCCUACGGGAGGCAGCAGUGGGGAAUAUUGCACAAUGGGGGAAACCCUGAUGCAGCGACGCCGCGUGAGUGAAGAAGUAUUUCGGUAUGUAAAGCUCUAUCAGCAGGGAAGAAGAUGACGGUACCUGACUAAGAAGCCCCGGCUAACUACGUGCCAGCAGCCGCGGUAAUACGUAGGGGGCAAGCGUUAUCCGGAUUUACUGGGUGUAAAGGGAGCGUAGACGGCGAUGCAAGCCAGAUGUGAAAGCCCGGGGCUCAACCCCGGGACUGCAUUUGGAACUGUGUGGCUGGAGUGUCGGAGAGGCAGGCGGAAUUCCUAGUGUAGCGGUGAAAUGCGUAGAUAUUAGGAGGAACACCAGUGGCGAAGGCGGCCUGCUGGACGAUGACUGACGUUGAGGCUCGAAAGCGUGGGGAGCAAACAGGAUUAGAUACCCCCGUACG